UCGAAUCCUGCACGACCCACCAAUAUACAAGGUGGUAACUGGUAGAGAACGUGAAGGAUAACGUUGCUUUAGCAACGGCCCGAAGGGCGAGGCGAAGCCGAGUCAUCCUGCACGACCCACCA
This 122-nucleotide small RNA is filed under the name Salmonella enterica. RNAcentral describes it as "partial RtT sRNA". It matches the Rfam family "RtT RNA", at positions 43 to 130 of the family's 130-position model. Rfam says of the family: This family represents a bacterial cis-regulatory element known as RtT RNA. The exact function of RtT is unknown although it is thought that it may be involved in changing the cellular response in relation to amino acid starvation. The record is from RNAcentral. RNAcentral also lists the same sequence under 1 other name. Lineage: Bacteria; Pseudomonadati; Pseudomonadota; Gammaproteobacteria; Enterobacterales; Enterobacteriaceae.